AAGGGAGCAAAUGAUUAAUAUUGUUCAAAGCCUAAAUUUCACAAGAACAAUUUUAUUAAAACCAAUGCACGACACGAGCACAACUUACAUUCAACAGUAUUUGUCUUGCAAAGAUCUUGAUAUUUGUGAUACUAAUAACAGGAGUGGAUCAAAUCAAAUGUCUUUAAACGUCAAAUCUGGAUCUUUUCUGUCAACAAAAACAAAUAGAAGUCGAAAGUGGCAUUCGGUAGCAUACAUAUUCUGAUAUGUCAUAUCGAUCUAAUUCUGUAGCUAGUAGUAUAAAUAUCUUAAAAGUGCGCUUACGGUUUAUACAAAAAUGAGCUCUAUUCAUCAACACUUUUUACAUUCCACAUCUAACACAGAUUCAACAUUCAAAGGCACAGGACUUCACUUCAAAACCAUCGAAAAUAAUCAGAGAAGUAAUUCAAGUAAUCUUACAUUGCGGAAAGAUUUUGGUCGAAAGGAAACGAUGGCACAGAAUUGUAAAAAAUCAAUACAAUACUUUCAGAAGUGAUGGAAACUAGUGAUUAUGGGGAAAUUAAGAGCAAAUGAUCAACUCUCUGCAGCUGCUUCCCAGUGACGCCACUGAAAUGAUCCAGAAAAUCAUAAAACCACUAGUUCAGUCGACUAAUGCAAGCUUUCAACAUAUGUGGUUUAUGAAGGUUUUUCUGUCACAUGCAUUGAAAAGGAAAAAAAAAAAGUAAAAAUCGUUAAAUUAAAAAUAGCAGUAGCAAGUAGAAAUAACAGCUGAUCUAAGUGCUGAAUGACAUCACUAAGUAUAGACGUAUGGCAUAAAGUAGAAAAGAAUUAACAAUCAAAUUCCACUUGGCAUAGAAAUCCUUAAACAUAUCCUACAUCCAAAAAGGAAAAAAAAAUAAUUGUAAAAAGGAAAUAUUACAUGCUGACUUGUGUAGAAAGAUUGCAUAAUGAUGAUUAUACCUCGGGACAUCCAAAGUGCAUAUCCUUUUUUUUUUUUUUUUUUCUUCUUCGUCUGCAUUACUAAUCUUAUUUAUAACUGAGGUGAAUCUCACAAAUAUGGAAGUCCAUUUCCGCCAUGGGAUGAAGAAUGAAAGAAAGGUAAUUGCUACUUUUUCCUCUCAAAAUUCAGAAAUUCUGAGAAUAAUCUGAGAUAUAAACUCAGAAUUCCGAGAUAAAAAUUCAACAUUCCGAGAUACAACCUUUGAACUGCAAGAUAUAAACUCAGAAUUCUGAGAUAAAAACAUGCAAUUCUGAAUAAUAAUAAUAAUAAUAAUAAUAAUAGAAUUGCAAGAUAAAAAUUCACAAUUAAUUUUAAUACAUAGUGAAUAAAAAUAAAUAAAUAAAACACAAAUACAAAAAUGUAAACUCACAAUUCAGAGAAAAAAGGUCAGAGGUGCAAGACGAAUGCAGAAUUGAUUGAUGCAAACUCAGAAUUGCAAGAAAAAAGUUGGAUUCUAAUUUCAUAUGUCAUUUUUUUUAAUUCUGUUUAAUUCUAUAUAUUGCAAUUCUGAUUUCAUAUCUCAAAAUUCUUUUAGAAGUUUUCAGAAUUUCACAAAAGUUUUCAGAAUUGCCAGAAAAACAUUGUAAUUAUUCUUUCUUAUUCUAUGGCAGAAACAAACUUGCACAAACAAAAUCAUGUUCGGGUCAUAUUUUCCCCAGAAACAGAAAUGAAAAAGUUGCAUAUUGCAAAUAAAUAUAAAAAUAAAGCAUAUUUUAAGAUCAUCAUGAUUUUUUGUAACAUUUUAAUGACACAUUGUCAUUACUCUACUGCAAAUAAUAAUGAAUAACAUGUGCAUCAUGAUGUUGUUCUGCCUUUUAAUUUAUUCUGAUCAAGCACUAUUACAGUAAAGUACAAUGCCUAACGGUCAUACUGUCUGAUUUUGGGGUGAAAUGUGAGCUGGACAUGUUUUCAUGAGAUUCACUCAGUCAUUAAAGCGACCUCUUGAUGCUAACUGGAAAAUUCUGACUGUUAUAUUAAACGAAAGAAUUAAACGAGUUUCAUAAAACCUCCUAAACAGAAACCGGGACGAAUUGAAACGGUCCCUCAAUACAGCAAAUAAAACACUGUAUGCAAAUAUAUAUUUUUAAAUGACCUAAAGGCGUCUGUUAUGGGUUUGAAAAUAAAUAAAGCUUAUAAACUUGAAACACAUCUUCACAAAUUGAUAAUAGUUCAUCACAAUAGUUCAUUACAACACGAGCUAUACUGCUGACAUUUACAGAUGUGUAGAAGCACAAACGGCCGGCUGACUGUAAGCAUGCAUCCCUGAAACUGCUCCAGGUCAGUGUGGGACAGACCAGUCUGUUUCUAAUGUACAUCAGGACAGUCGUUUACAACCAAACCAACAGCAGCAAGAAGAAGAUUAAUCAAGAAUCAUCAUCCGUUUCAGUGCAAAUAAACCAGGAACCGUUCAGACUCUCACGCCCGGAAGAGUGAAUCUCACAAAGCCUGGCGAGAAAUCAACCCACGAAUCACAAAAAAAAACUGAAUUAAAAUACAUCAUUAAAAAUAAAU
Cyprinus carpio carpio is the source of this 2491-nucleotide long non-coding RNA. The record is from Ensembl. Lineage: Eukaryota; Metazoa; Chordata; Actinopteri; Cypriniformes; Cyprinidae.